GAUCAUGGCUCAGAUUGAACGCUGGCGGCAGGCUUAACACAUGCAAGUCGAACGGUAACAUAAAGAAGCUUGCUUUUUUGAUGACGAGUGGCGGACGGGUGAGUAAUGCUUGGGAAUCUAACUUAUGGAGGGGGAUAAUUACGGGAAACUGUAGCUAAUACCGCGUAAUAUCGAAAGAUUAAAGUGUGGGACCUUCGGGCCACAUGCCAUAGGAUGAGCCCAAGUGGGAUUAGGUAGUUGGUGAGGUAAAGG
Molecule: ribosomal RNA, 252 nt
Filed under: uncultured bacterium
Lineage: Bacteria
Description: partial 16S ribosomal RNA
Rfam family: Bacterial small subunit ribosomal RNA
Source: RNAcentral